Molecule: ribosomal RNA, 858 nt
Filed under: Acanthops falcata
Lineage: Eukaryota; Metazoa; Arthropoda; Insecta; Mantodea; Acanthopidae
Description: SSU rRNA
Rfam family: Eukaryotic small subunit ribosomal RNA
Source: RNAcentral
GCAAGGCGGACCGAAGGGAAAGCAUUCGCCAAGAAUAUUUUCUUUGAUCAAGGACGAAAGUUAGAGGUUUGAAGGCGAUCAGAUACCGCCUUAGUUUUAACCAUAAACGAUGCCAGCCAGCAAUCCGCCGAAGUUCCUCCGAUGACUCGGCGGGCGGCUUCCGGGAAACCAAAGCUUUUGGGUUCCGGGGGAAGUAUGGUUGCAAAGCUGAAACUUAAAGGAAUUGACGGAAGGGCACCACCAGGAGUGGAGCCUGCGGCUUAAUUUGACUCAACACGGGAAACCUCACCAGGCCCGGACACCGGGAGGAUUGACAGAUUGAGAGCUCUUUCUUGAUUCGGUGGGUGGUGGUGCAUGGCCGUUCUUAGUUGGUGGAGCGAUUUGUCUGGUUAAUUCCGAUAACGAACGAGACUCUAGCCUGCUAACUAGUCGCUUCCGGUAUCCUUGUGCUACCGGCGACUCCUGAUCUUCUUAGAGGGACAGGCGGCUUCUAGCCGCACGAGAUUGAGCAAUAACAGGUCUGUGAUGCCCUUAGAUGUUCUGGGCCGCACGCGCGCUACACUGAAGGAAUCAGCGUGUCCUCCCUGGCCGAAAGGUCCGGGUAACCCGCUGAACCUCCUUCGUGCUAGGGAUUGGGGCUUGCAAUUGUUCCCCAUGAACGAGGAAUUCCCAGUAAGCGCGAGUCAUAAGCUCGCGUUGAUUACGUCCCUGCCCUUUGUACACACCGCCCGUCGCUACUACCGAUUGAAUGAUUUAGUGAGGUCUUCGGACCGGUGGGCGAGGGGGCUCGCCUCCUCGAUUCCACCGGGAAGAUGCCCAAACUUGAUCAUUUAGAGGAAGUAAAAGUCGUAACAAGGU